GACGAACGCUGGCGGCGUGCUUAACACAUGCAAGUCGAGCGGUAAGGCCCUUUCGGGGGUACACGAGCGGCGAACGGGUGAGUAACACGUGGGUGACCUGCCCUCAGCUCUGGGAUAAGCCUGGGAAACUGGGUCUAAUACUGGAUAUGACUCCACGGUGCAUGUCGUGGGGUGGAAAGCCUUGUGCGGCUGAGGAUGGGCUCGCGGCCUAUCAGCUUGUUGGUGGGGUGAUGGCCUACCAAGGCGACGACGGGUAGCCGGCCUGAGAGGGCGACCGGCCACACUGGGACUGAGACACGGCCCAGACUCCUACGGGAGGCAGCAGUGGGGAAUCUUGCGCAAUGGGCGAAAGCCUGACGCAGCGACGCCGCGUGAGGGAUG
Molecule: ribosomal RNA, 381 nt
Filed under: uncultured bacterium
Lineage: Bacteria
Description: bacterial SSU rRNA
Rfam family: Bacterial small subunit ribosomal RNA
Source: RNAcentral